This 265-nucleotide ribosomal RNA is filed under the name uncultured archaeon. Its description in RNAcentral is "partial 16S ribosomal RNA". It matches the Rfam family "Archaeal small subunit ribosomal RNA", at positions 716 to 982 of the family's 1478-position model. The record is from RNAcentral.
AGUCACUGACAUUAGAUACCCGCGUAGUCCCAGCCGUAAACUAUGCGCGUUAGGUGUACUGGUGACCACGAGUCACCGAGGUGCCGAAGGGAAACCGUGGAACGUGCCGCCUGGGAAGUACGGUCGCAUGGCUGAAACUUAAAGGAAUUGGCGGGGGAGCACCACAACGGGUGGAGCUUGCGGUUUAAUUGGAUUCAACGCCGGAAAUCUUACCGGGACCGACAGCAACAUGAAGGCCAGGCUGAAGACUUUGCCGGAUUAGCUG